This 275-nucleotide ribosomal RNA is filed under the name uncultured bacterium. RNAcentral's name for it is "partial 16S ribosomal RNA". It matches the Rfam family "Bacterial small subunit ribosomal RNA", at positions 338 to 610 of the family's 1533-position model. The record is from RNAcentral.
CCUACGGGUGGCUGCAGUAGGGAAUAUUGGGCAAUGGGCGCAAGCCUGACCCAGCCAUGCCGCGUGCAGGAAGAAGGCCCUCCGGGUUGUAAACUGCUUUUGCGGGGGAAGAAGGGCCGCGCCGAGGCGCGGUGUGACGGUACCCCGCGAAUCAGCCACGGCUAACUACGUGCCAGCAGCCGCGGUAAUACGUAGGUGGCGAGCGUUGUCCGGAUUUAUUGGGUCUAAAGGGUGCGUAGGCGGGCGGCUAAGUCGGGGGUGAAAGACGGUGGCUC